Molecule: ribosomal RNA, 522 nt
Filed under: Triticum aestivum (bread wheat)
Lineage: Eukaryota; Viridiplantae; Streptophyta; Magnoliopsida; Poales; Poaceae
Description: partial small subunit ribosomal RNA
Source: RNAcentral
AUGAAUCAUCGCUUCAGUGACUCAAACCAAGAGGUAAUUGCAUGUUUAUUGUGUCUUGAUCCCAAGAAUUCUUUCUCCAAGUUUGAUGUACAAAAGCUUUCUCGGCUUGCUGAAAUAUAUAGUCCCGAUUUCUCAAGUAGUGAUCGUACAGUAUUGAGGGACCAACUUGAGACUUUUGUUCUUCAUUUGAGAAAUCAUGCUGAAUUUUCUACUUGCAAAGAUGUUGAAAGUUUAGCUACAAAAAUGGUUGAAACAGAGAAACAUUUGGUCUUUCCAUUGGUUUACAAGCUCAUUGAGUUAGCUUUGCUACUGCCGGUGUCCACAGCAUCUGUUGAGAGAGCUUUCUCGGCAAUGAAAAUUAUCAAGUCUAAACUGCGCAACACGAUCAAUGAUGAUUGGUUUAAUCACUUGACGAUAUGCUACACUGAACGUGAAAUAUUUAAAUCACUCGAUGAUGAAGUUAUCACUCGAAGGUUUCAGGCCAUGAAGGCUCGAAAAGGGAUUUUACCGAGGCAUCAUUAG